RNAcentral lists this long non-coding RNA (18655 nucleotides) under Vitis vinifera (wine grape). RNAcentral describes it as "long non-coding RNA (VVIN_LNC005981)". The record is from RNAcentral. Lineage: Eukaryota; Viridiplantae; Streptophyta; Magnoliopsida; Vitales; Vitaceae.
GUUAAUAUAAUAAGAACGCUUGGAUUCCCACGUCCGUUCUGGAUGUGUUCGCCAAUUCAUACAAUACGAAACCGCCGCUUCGCUCCCUACACUCCCUCUCUCUCGACUCUGCGUCCUCUCUGUACCACACACACUUACGUCCACCUCGCAUUCUUCUUUUUCUUUUCUGCCUAAAUAUUACAUACAUACUCUGAGAUAUUGCUUCCUCUCAUCGGUACCUCACUCCUUGUAACCGAAAUUAAUUUGGAGUCUUGGGGAGAAUCACUGAAUCUGAAUUUUCAGAAUACCCAGUAGGAGCAACCAUGAUCAGUAGGAGGGCCUGCUUUCGCAAUUUGAUCCAAUCUCUAAGAACGGGUUCCACUGCAUCUAAGGUUAUCUUCCGCUCGUCAUUUUUUUUUUUUUUUAAUUAUGAUUCCAAGGACCAUUUCCUGAUUUCGAUAUACUCUACUUACUCUGAACCUUUUAUAGAGUUGAAAAUUUUCCUCUGGUUUUUAUCAUUUCAUACGACUUGUAAGUUUGUCUGCUGAACUUGUGGGGUUUCAAUUGUCUGGGUUUUUCUCGCAGGUUUGGUAUUGUAUGUGUCUUUUGGUGCUUUCUUUUAACGUAUAGUUCUUGCUUAACAUGUUGCUUUGUAGAUGAUUUCUAAUCUCUGUAUCAAUGUCCUUUCUUUUCUGUGCUUGUCUUUUAUAUUUGUUAUUGUUUUUGUUUUAACCACGGAGAUGACUAAUUUAGGGAGAGAUUAAUCCGAUUGAAUUAGUUUCAGCCCUGGAAAUAGGAAUCUGACGGUUCUGAAUUCAGCCUUUUGAAUGGUACGCAUAGCUUGGAUCAAAUCCGUAGCGGGUGGAACAACCUUGUAGAUGAUUGAUCCAACACUUUUAAAUGGUUAUUUUAUUUAAAUUCCAGUUAAAUUGGAGGCCUCAGUGGAUGUGACUAUUAAAUAGAAGAUGAUCCACAGAUUUAUUAGUAUUUUGAUUAUUCAUUGAGAACCAAUAUUUUCCGGCAGAGACAUUCAAAAAUGUUGACUGGGUUUCUUGUGUAAAAUGACAGCUGCAGUUGUAUCAAUAAAUAUUGAAAUCACGCGCCUUUGUUUUGCUUAUAGGCUACAAUCCAUUUCCCAUGUUCCUCAAUGAUGUGUCGUUGAUCAAUUGUAUACAUGAUAGAGAUCAAGAUGAAAACAGUACAAACUUAUCUAAUUUUCGUGCAUAUUUGCAGCUUAGAUCUUCCAAUUGCUAUACGUCAAGGACUGCACCUUCCUUGCAACCAGUGGUCGAGCUCUCUCCUGAUAGGUAACUGCGCAAAAUGAGGCAAUUCGAUACUAAUUACUUGGUUGCUUCCCUGCAAAUGUGUUCUACCGAAUAGUGAAUCCCACUGUUACACAACCAGAAUUUCUUAGACUGGUUAAUUUUCACCUCUUUGAUGCUCAAGCCCCCUCAAUUAUAAAUCUAUACUGUUGGGGUGUCCAUAUUUCAGGCAGUUUUUCAGGUUUUGUGUUAAUGCCCAACACCAAUUAUCUGCAUGAGAUUAUGUAACAUUGUUCAUUUAAUGUAAUUAUAAUUGUUGUACUGCUAGUGAUGAUGAGUACGCUGAUGUGGACUGGGACAACCUGGGAUUUUCUCUAAGACCCACCGAUUACAUGUACAUAACAAAAUGCUCCGGGGGUGAUAGUUUUGAAGAAGGCCAUCUUAGUCGCUAUGGAAAUAUAGAGUUGAGCCCUUCUGCUGGUGUGUUAAAUUAUGGACAGGUAACUAGAUUGUAUUCUUAAUUACUUGUGCUAAAGCAAACAGCAUAUUUGAUGUUGUAUCUUUUAACUACCUUCAGGGUUCUAAUGUAAAGUUGGUGGUUUUGAAAUCUGAACAGGGGCUGUUUGAAGGCACCAAAGCAUAUAGGAGAGAAAAUGGGCGCCUCUGCCUCUUCCGCCCUGAUCAGAAUGCCAUCCGUAUGCAGGCUGGUGCAGAAAGAAUGUGCAUGCCUUCCCCAUCCAUCCAUCAAUUUGUAGAAGCUGUCAAGCAAACUGCAUUCGCUAACAAGCGCUGGGUAAUUGUCUUACCGUACUUGUUCUACAUCUAUGUUGCAUUAGAAGCUCUAUGUUUUUAUUUAAUAAACAUGUCUGUCCUUCUAGUUUAUAAAUUUUUUGUUUUGAUGUGAAGCAGAUUCCUCCUCCAGGAAAAGGGUCACUGUAUAUUAGGCCUUUGCUCAUGGGGAGUGGACCCGUAUUGGGUUUAGGCCCAGCACCUGAAUGCACAUUCCUCAUAUAUGCUUCCCCUGUUGGCAACUAUUUCAAGGUGGGGUUUCUUAUUUUAUCAAAGCCUGGUUUUGCUUCAGCUAAGGCAAGAAGAAUUUAUGUGCUCUGUUGAUUCAUUUUGCAGGAGGGUUUGGCACCCUUAAACCUAUUUAUUGACGAUGAGUAUCAUCGUGCAACACGUGGAGGGGCUGGAGGGGUGAAAACCAUUACCAAUUAUUCUCCUGUAAGUGAAUCAGUGUCUCAUUUAGUUGUAAAAUAAGCUCAUUGCUUUCAACUCCUUGAAUGCCACAAAAUAUGCUCAUUUUCAAAAAAUGACUUGUGUCUAAAGUGUUAGGUUGUAACUAUGGAAUGUAAAUUUACAUUGUUUCUUGCUGCCAAAUUAUUGAUGCCCCCCUUGAAACUAUGUUAUCUAUUAUAUCACAUCCUUUCUCGUCUUGUGUAGGUUUUGAAAGCACUAACUAGAGCAAAGAGCAGAGGGUUCUCUGAUGUGCUAUACCUUGAUUCAGUGUAUAAGAAAAACAUCGAGGAGGUCUCUUCUUGUAACGUCUUCAUUGUGAAGGUACUGUUGAAAUUACAUUUCUCGUUAAUUUAAUUAUUCUCACCUGGUACCUAAUUGUUAUCUUCACUGGAUGUGACUCUAACGAAGAAGUGAAAACAUAAGUGAUUAGCAGCUUAGAUUGUUCAAAACAACUUGGACAGAGAAUUUUGAAAUUGGAUAGACAUAGAGGCAGAGCUUCUUAGAGUGCACUUUUCCACCAUUUCAGGAUAAUGUUAUUUCAACUCCGGCCACAGGAGGAACCAUUCUUGAAGGAGUGACUCGAAAAAGCAUCGUCGACAUUGCACUUGAUCACGGUUACCAGGUAAAUGUCCAGUAACUUGGUAAAAACAAUAAGCUAAUUUCUGUACUUAUAUGUUCGGAUAAUGUCCCAAAUGGGUUAGGUUAAGGAGCAAUGUAUUCCAGUGGAGGAAGUGAUGGAAGCCGAUGAAGUUUUCUGCACCGGAACCGCUGUUGGUGUAGCUGCGGUGGGAAGCAUUACAUAUCAGGGUAAAAGGUAAAUAGUCAUACCUAAGAUCACAAAGAACCUCUGUAAAGGGGAAAUAAUUAAGUUCAUACUAGUGUUGCCUGCCACUAAUUUUCUUUUGUUGAUGAAUUAAAUAUGAAUACGCAGGGUGGAAUACAAAAUGGGUGAUCAGUGUGUGAGUCAGGAACUGUUCUCAACGUAUAUGGGGAUUCAAAAAGGUGAUAUCGAGGACAAGAAAGGCUGGAUUCUGGAGAUUGAUUAAGCUUUAUAGCCACCUCAUCUACAGCACUUGUACAUGGUACUGCUAAGAGCAUGGUAUUCCUAAUAAAAUUAAUGUUCACGUCAAAGGCAUCGAUAUCUAAACUGGUUUCCAUCUUUAACCAAACAUCACUUUUUGAAUCCUUAUCCUCCACGACCAUAUCGCAAUCAACUUUAGUUUCCUUUCCCCCUUGAUCCUAUCACUCAUCCUUAUCUUCCCCACUCACUCUUUCCACAUUUUUAUUGCCAUCGAUUUUGAAGGAGUAAAAAAAUUAAAGACUAUUUUCGGAAUUAGCUUUCAUUUUUUUUUUUUAACAUAACUUUAAAAAUAUUUUAAAAUUUUAAUAAAAAUUAAAAUAAUUAAAGUUAUAUCUCUAAUUAAUUUUUUUGGGCCUUUAUUUUUAUUUUAUACUAUUGUAAAAACAGUAAAUUUAACUUAAUUAAAAUGACAAUAUUUAUUUUAAAAAUAAAAAUAAAACAUGAAAAGUUGAAUUUUAGAUAAUUUAAUGAUCCGUUUGAUUAAAAUGUGACAUUUAUAUUACAACAUAGAAAUUCUUUAAAGUUUUAAUACCCUCGUGUGGACCCCGCAUUUCGGCUCAUGCGUUUCCCACUCGAAUGGCGAGCUCGAUUUUAUUUCGAAAAAUUGAUUUUUAUUUGAUUAAGAAAAUUGACUUGGAGUCGCCACUUAUUUUUGUUUUAUUUUUAAAAGGGUAAACAAAAUAAGAAAGAAAAACCCUAAGUGUGACUCCUUACUUUGGAAAAGAUGGUCUGUGAAAAACCGGAUCGGGUUCGGGGGUCAGGUUACUUAUCGGGAAGGUAUGGUAACGACCGUAGCACCCCUCUAAGUCCCUAAAAACAGGUCUCUACUAAUAAAAUGAAGCUGACGUGGCAAUCGAAUAAGAAAGUCAAUGGAUACUCACAUCAAUCAUGCAUAUAUGAGAAUCAGAAUAUGUAUAGUGAAUGAUCAGAAUGAGUGAAUGCAUACCUGGGCAGCAAGCAGCAACGCGCUAUCAAGAGACAGGAUUAGCGAAUGACGAAUAGAUAAGAUUAUGCGCAUGCCAAGGAACAAAAAUAAAUCAAACAAACAUGGUAAAUAAAUCAAUCAAUCAAUCAGUCACUCAUAAAAUCACAUAUGUGGGGCCCCCACCAAAGCUCGAUUGAUUUUUCCUGAAUUAAUCUCGCGAAUCCCAUUAUUUCAAAAUUAUGAAGAUUCAUCAUUCUUGCUUGUGUAAAAAUCAAAAGAAAUGGAAUAUUAUUUAAAAAUCGGAGUGGAAUUAAAGCUAUUUGAGAGAAAAUUGGAUGUUUGAGAUUUAUUUGGAAAUUAGAGUCUUGAAAAUUAUUUGAAGAUUGGAGUCUUGAAAAUUAAAUUUAAGAAUUGGAAUUUCGGAUAUUAAAUUUGAAAGAAACUAGAAUUUUGGAAAUCGGAAAUUGAAUUCAGAAAUUAGAAUUUUGAAGAAUUGUUUAAAAGGGCAUUUCAAAAUAAAUAACUAAAAUAAUAAUAAUUAAAUAGAUUAAUGUGAGUAUUGGAAUUUUGGAAUUAUAACUUAAAAUCGAAAGUCGGAAAUUUUAAUGAAUUGUUUAAAAUGGAAUUUUAGAAUAAGUAAAUAACAUAAUAAUAAUUAAAUGAAUUAACGUGAAUAGUGAAAUUUUCAGAAAUAGAAAUUUAAUUCAGAGAUCGAAAGUUUUAAAUGAAUUGUUUAAAAUAGAAUUUUAGAAUAAAUAAAUAACAUAAGAAUAAUUAAAUAAAUCAAUGUGAAUAUUGGAAUUUUCAAAAAAUAGAAAUUUAAUUCGGUAAACGGAAAUUUUAAUGAAUAGAUUAGUUUUAAAAUAAAUGAAUAAAGUAUUAGUGAUUAAAUAAAUUAAAGUGAGUAUGAGAACUUUAGGAAAUUGGAAUCGAAUUCUAAAUGUCGGAAUUUUGAAGUAUUAUUUAAAGGUUGAAUUUUUAUAAAUUGGGCUUGGAAAUUGGAAGUUAGAAAGUUUGAAUUAAUAAUAAUAAUAAGAAUAAGAUUUUUGAAAGUUGAGGUAAUAAUAACAAUAAUGAUGAGAUUUUUGAAAGCUUGAAUUAAUGAUGAUAAUAAUAAUAAAUAAAUUUUGAAAGUUUGAAUUAAUACUAAUGAUGAUAAAAAGAUUUUGAAGGUUGAAUUAGUAAUAAUCAUAGGAUUUUAAAAGUUUGGAUUAAUGAUAGUAAUAAUAAUGAUAAGUGGAUUUUGAGAGUUGAGUUAAUAAUAAUUAUAAUAGUAAUUAAUGAUAAUAAUAAUAAUAAUUAUAAAUGUUGGAAGUUUGAGUUAAUACUAAUAAUGAUAAAAAGAUUUUGAAGGUUGAAUUAAUAACAAUCAUAGGAUUCUAAAAGUUCGGAUUAAUGAUAGUAAUAAUAAUGAUAAGUAGAUUUUGAGAGUUGAGUUAGUAAUAAUUAUAACAAUAAUUAAUGAUAAUAACAAUAAUAAUGAUAAUAAUGAUUAAUGAUAACAAUAAUAAAUAUAAUGAUAACAAUGAUUAAUAAUAAUGGCAACAAUUAUAAUGACAAUAAUAAUAAUAAUAAUAAUGAUAGCAAUGACAAUAAUAAUUAAUGGUAAUAAUAAUAAUAAUUAUAAUGAUAAUAAUGAUUAAUAAUAAUAAUAAUAAAUAUAAUGAUAACAAUGAUUAAUAAUAAUGGUAACAAUUAUAAUGGCAAUAAUAAUAAUAAUAAUAAUAAUAAUAACAAUAAUAAUAAUUAUAAUGAUAAUAAUGAUUAAUAAUAAUAGUAAUGAAUAUAAUGAUAACAAUGAUUAAUAAUAAUGGUAACAAUUAUAAUGACAAUAAUAACUAAAAAUAAUAAUAAUAAUAAUUAUGGUAAUAAUAGAAAUGGGCUCAAGACAAAGGCCCCAUCUUCAGCAUAGGCUUGGGCCUGAGCUCCAAGUUCAAACCCAAGCCCAAAGCCUUCAUAAUCCAAACCCAAUGCAAACAUUAAAAAAAAAAAAGCCCAUCUCUAUCAAGGCCCAAAUUCUAAUUCCAUCACAGCCCAUUUAUUUGAGGAAACAUGCUACCCUCCAUCAACGAACUUGGAUUGGGCUCCAACUCAAGCCCAAGGUCCAUCAUGGGCAAGCCCAAGCCGGUCACCCACGCAAACUCCAUCACAGCCCGAGGCAUCUCCCUCCAUCUGGGCAGCUUUCUCAGACGAGACCUCCACCAGCAGCGACGUAGAGGAGAGGGGAAGCGGCGGCGGUCCGACGUCGUCCAAGAGGCGUCGCCGUUGUCGCUGGUGACCAUUGCGGCUGUCCAGGCGGUCAGAGCAAGUCGAGGCGAGCCACGCCGACGUCGAGGGAGGAUCCGUUCGCGACCUCGAGGCGCGCCCGCUGCAGCUGGGGUGGCAGUGCCAUUUGGGGGUAGGCUUGGGGCGGCGGAAACUGGUGCCUGCGGAGGAGCUCACGAGGAUAGAGGAUGGCGGCGAGCAUGGGCAAUGGUGAGUUGAGAGGGGAUAGUUUUUACAGGUAUUGGAAAAUGAAGGUGAGAGUUAGGGGUGGUCUUUGCAUGGCGGGGUGUGGGGAUAUGAGUAUGGGUAUGGUUAGGUGAUGUGGAUGAACGAGAGAAAUGGUGAGGGAAUGAGGGUAAGGAUAGGUUUGGUGUGCAUGGGUGUCGCGGGUUUAGAGAGAGAAGUAGAUGCAGGGAAGGAUUGAUGAAGAAGGAGAGAGGAAUAACAUGAUUAAUGAAAGGUUCGGCAAAUAAAUCCAUAUAGAAAGCUAUAUAUCAAACAAAUCCAUGUGACUCAGUAUACAAUGAAAUCAUAUGACAAUGCUCAGGUAUCCAGAUCAGAGAUAAUUAAAACCAAUGACUGAGGAAGCAUGCAUGAGAAAGGCUCCAAGGACUCAUACCUGUGAUGCCCUUCAAGACGUCCCCCUCAAGCUUUUCCUCCUUCUCCUCUUUCUCCGAUCUCUCCUCCUUGAUAUUUUCUUUCCCGCUCUUCUUUGACAGCCCCCCUCCUACUCUCUGUCUCGCGUCCCAUCUCGCCGCCACCUAGAGCAGCCCACUUGAGAGCCCUCAGAAAAGCAACCAAAAAAUAAUGAUAAAUAAUCCCAGAAAAAAAACUCUCUCUUCGGGGGGGGUCUACACCUCGCUUUAUAGGUUCCUUAAGAAAAAAAUGAAACAUUAGUUUUUCGUUGGUCUUCCUCGAUUUACGAUCUAAUUGAAAUUCUUAUUAAAAUUUAUUGAGUUUAUUUUUAAUUUUUAAUUAUUUUUAAAAAUUACUAUGUUUAAUAAUUCAAACAAAUUAAUUCUUGCUUUGGUUUGCUUGGUUUAUAGUUUAUUUAUCUAAUAUGAAAAUUCCUAAAAAUUAUAGUUACUUGUAGAAGAGAAACAAUAGAUUAAUUGUAAAUUAAUUUUUGUGAGUUUUUAACCUUGAGUUAUUUUUUAAGAUUAAUAGACUUAUUAUUAAAUCAGUGCAUUAAAUCUUACUUAAUUUAAAAUUUAUUUAUUUAAUAAAAAAAUUAAAAAAUAUGAUUGCGUGUUUUAUUAUCGAUCAAUUUUUUAUUUAUAAAUUUUUUAUCAUUUUCUAAAUAUUUAAAUUUUAAAUUAUUUUAAAAAUUAUUUAACUCAUUAAUAAAUUCAUUAUAGUAAAUCUUACUUGAUUUAAAUUUUAUUUAUUCAAUAAGAUCGAAAAAUACAAUUAGGUCUAAAAAUUAAAACAAUUAAGUCAAUUUUAAUGCAUGACUUUUGACAUUAAUUAAAUCAAUUUAUAAGUUUUAUAUUAUUUUUAAAAACCAGUAAAAUUAUGUAUUAAUUCAUGAACUUGUUUUUUUAAUAAAAAAAUAUUAAAAAUUGUGAAAAAACUUAUAAAUAGAAUUUGGGGACCUCGACUAAAUGAUUUAUUUUUUUAAACGAUUUAUUUUAUUUUUAAAAAUAGAGAAAAAUAAUUCUUACUUAUUACUUUUUUUUUAUUUCACUUUAAUUUUUUAAAACGAUUUCAAUAAUUACCAAAUAAUAUUAUAAUUUUUUUUAAAAAAAUUGUUUUUAAAAAAUAAAAAAUUAUUUAAAAAUCAAUAGACUUUAAGACCCUUAAAUGCAUCCGAUACUUGGGGUCUGCUACAAGUCCCAUGGUUGAAUAGACCCAGGAAUCAACCAUGGUUAAAACCAGAUGUGGACUCAAACGACCCUUGGAAUCUGUUCUUGUUAACCCAGAAUUUGUGCGUUUGUUGGAUGCUUUUGAGGUUCCCAUAAUCGAUGAAGCCUUCAAUGGAAAUACAAUCAGGUCUUUCAUGGAUGAAUUGAAGGCAGUUGGGGUGGCUGUUGAUCUUAGCAGAGCAUUAAAGCUGAUAGUCACUCAAUUUAAGUCAUUCUUAUCUUCUUCCAGCCUGACUCCUUUCAAAGUGAUUUCACUACUAGAAUGCAUCAGAGAAAUGAAUGAAAAACUGCCUUCACAUUUGCAGGAACUCCAUCAAUGCUUGUUGGGGGAGAAGUGGUUAAGGACUUGUAAUGGUUACAGGACCCCCAGUGAAUCAAUACUAUUCAGCUCUAAAUGGGGAACCAUAUCUUUAUUUGUUGAUCUUCCUCUCAUUGAUGAUUCCUUUUAUGGUAUUGUCAUAUAUGGCUUUGAGGAUGAGCUAAAGAUGCUGGGGGCCAUAACUGAAUUCGAAGGAGGAGCUCCAUUUGUAGCCAGAGGUCUAACCCGACCAAUUGAACCUCGAUUUGUGACUGACUUGGGUACAAUUGCAUUGCUAGAAUGUAUCAAGUAUCUAAUCUCAAAGUCUAAGGAGCAGACAUUACUUGAUAAUUUGUUUAGCAAUUUAAUGAGAAGCAAGUCGUUGAAAACUAGGAAAGUUUACAAAAAACCUGAGGAAUGUAUCCUGUUUGAUCCAACCUGGAAAGUUAUUCUGGAGGAGACUGAUGCCCCAGUGAUUGAGCAUACAUUUUACAAAACUGAAAUAUUUAUGUACAAGAAUCAGUUGAGGGCCAUUGGAGUUAAGGUGGAUCCUGGGGAUGUAUGCUCUCUUCUGUCAAGGUAUCUUAUGUCACUUACAGAGACUUCUUCAAUUACUAGGACAUACAAUUUCCUCCACAUGUUCAAUUGGAAGCCAGAAUUGCCGGAUAAAUCAGACUAUCAGGUAUGGGUUAUUAACCACAAUGAUAACUGUGAGUGUUUAGCUAGGUUGGCAAUUCCGGACAAAAUUCCUAAGUGUCCCCUAACUCGGCUUUCCUAUUCCUAUUCGGACUACUUGACUUUGAAGACUAAGACUUUGCUAAGAGGCCAAGGUAUGUAGUCGAGUGUGUGGUGAUUGGGUGUGAAUCAACCCGGUUUUUAAUCUUUAAAUGUGUUAGAAAGUUUGGAAAAAUGGUUUUUGGUGCAAGGCUUUUAUUCGUCUGUUUCUGGAUCGAUCCAGGUGUAGGGGUGGAUCUAUCCAACUAAUGUUUUUUUGAUCAAAUCUCAGCCAUUAGAUUAAGGGUUUAUUUUUACACUUUAAAACCAAAUCUUCUAUCAUUUUCUGUGGAGAGAGACUGCUGAAAACGUGGGGAGAGCAGCCACACUCCAAGUGUUCUUCAUUUCUCAUUUUUGCUUUCCUAAGUUGGGGUUUUUGAUUGCAAAGAAAAUCCACUUCUCUUAAUGUUUUCAAAACUAGUUUUCAAUGGAUUUUCUUGAGCAAUAAAGGGGUUGAUUCAUUUCUUCAUUCACAUCUAAAUCUCUCAUUCUAUUUGGGUUGUGCAAAAACCCAUUUUCUUCUUGUGUUGAUUCAAGAAGAGGCCGAGAUUGAGCUUGGUGCGGACUCCAAGUGUGCUCCAACAGGAGAAGCUGAAAAUGAAGGUACUAGUCAAGUAUUCCGGGAAGGAUUGGUUGGCUUGAGCUAGGUAAAACCUUGUACUCAGUUUUUAUUCUUCAUAGUGGAGUUUUCAAUCGGCGAUAGGCCCGUGGUUUUUGAUAUCUUCGGAGGUUUUCCAUGUUAAAAAUCUGGUGUUCAUUGUCUCUUUCUCUCACUCUAUAUUUUGAUUUAUUUUUGAGGAGUGUUGAAGCAUUUGCAUGUGUUUUGCAUUUAUAAAUUGUUGGGAGAGUGUUGAUGCAUACAUUAUUGCUUGUGGAUGUUUUGCUUUGUUAAAAAGUUAUUGGAAGAAAAAUUUCUUGACAUUAAGAUAGUCUAAGGUUAGGUAAUCUUUGUUGGAAUGAUUUUUUAAAUUGUUCUACAACACCUAUUCACCCCCCUCUAGGUGUAGUUCAUUAUUGAGAUUCACAUUUUCAAUAACAGUGGAGAAGAAUGGGUGAAUUCUCAGCUUCGCAUACUUCAUGACAAGGACAAUCUAUUUGAUUCCCACUAGUAUGCUCUUGACAAAUGUUACCAGAAGGAACUGUUGCCCUUUUUCUCUUCAGCAUUUGCAGUUGCUGAAUUUCCUUCCAUUGAUGAUUACAUGGGGCUCUGGGACAUCUGGGUCCUGAGAGUUAAUAGUCAAGUGACUGCCAAAGGAUGCUGCUCUUUUUUGGGACUACAUUUUGAAGAACUGGAAUCCGCACACAGAGGAUAUCCUGAAGAAGAGGUUAACCAAAGUACCCCCCACCACAUCUACAAGUGAGAGAAUCCAUCUAGUGAACAAGGAACUGGUGUUUAUCCCUGACGACUUGUAAUUGAAACAUUUUUUUUUUCUAGUAUCGAUGGAAUUCCACUCUUUGUAUGGCUGCUCAAGUGCAAGAGCUUAUCUACUAUUCAUCCAAGGAGGUUCUUUGAGAUUUAUGAGUCUCUUUGGAGUAAGAAAGAUGUCUGGUUCUGUUGAGUGCCAUGCGAGUAUUUCACAUUCUUUGGAUCAAUAUAAGAUGGAUCCGAGAAAUGGAUUGAUAGGAAGAGGUCUUGUCAGUAUUUGAAAGCAGUGAACCAAUUCUAGUCAGUUAUCAAUUACUAUUGUCUGCAUACAAAACAUUGGAAGUAGAAGCAAGGAAGCUGGUUUUUUGGGACAAGAAUUCUUGUAGGCUGCUGAUUGAUAAAUCAGGUUAUGAAGAUCGAAAAUCGAAUAUUAAAUUUGUGAGUUGUUUUGCAUGUGAAAUUGCUGAAGGACUAUUGGCAUGUGUAAAAGCUGAUGCAAUCGAAAACCUGAGUAAGACAAGUGAGUAUGUUUGAGUUCAAGGAGAAAUCCAUGUUUCUUUUGCUUACAAGUGAGUAUUUGGAGCUGUUUGCGGAGGAUGAGAAGUUCCUUGAUGCUGCAUUCCUCUUGCCAAAACAGUGUCCAGUGAUAAGAUAUCUUCCCAUCUUGCCUCCAAUAGACGACAAGUCACAACUGCUGACUCAACCAAACCUCAAGGAGAGUCGGAGAAAAGUUCCAAACUAUCCAGAUCCUCCAAAGUCCAGUUCUCAACAGCUGGAGUUAUUAAGCCCACCCAUGCCAGAAUCUUCCCAGAAGAAGCCUCGACAAUGAUGGAGUUAUUAAUUCCAGGAGUUUCUGUUUAGUGAUAAAUUUUUUAAAAUUUGAGAUAAUACUUUUUUUAAUACCUCAAUUUUUUAAAAUAAUUUUGAAAGUCACCGUCUUUCAAAAUUAGUCCCAAACAUUAUCAUUUUUUCUAUUUUUAAAAAUAAAAAAUGUAUACUUGAAUUUUAUAAUAACAUAAUUGCAGAAAAACCCCUUUUUCAGAGGAUAGGAAAUUAAUGUUUGGAAUAAAAAGAAAAUAAGGAUAUUUGAAAAUCAUACUUAAAAAAGUGUUUUUUAAUAACCACAAAAACCUUUUUGUGCAAAAACAUUUAUUAAAUUUCUUAGUGCUUUAUUUUAUAAUAUCUUCUUAACCUGUUUAAUAUGCAUAUAUAUAAGAUUUAAAUUUCAUUUUGCACUAAAAUUUUUAAUUUUAUUAAAAAAUAUUAAAUUAAUUAACAGAUCCAUAAAUAACAAGUAUAUGUUGUUUUUGCAACUGACGAAGAGCUCAUACUGGAGUCCUAUUUUUGCUCAACUACUUUCCAUUUUGUCAAAACGUAAUGGAGAAUGGCUCCCCAACGUUUACUUCAUCUCCAAAUAUAAAAAUAUCGAAAAUUAUGUAUAUAUCGAUACUUCGGAUAUAUACUGACGUAUAUUUUAAAAAUAUAUAUAUAAAAUUGAUUAAAAUUUAUAAAAAUAUAAAAAAAAUUCAUAAAAAUGUACUUAGAAGUGUAAUAGAUAUUUUAAAGUUAUUUUAUUAAAGAAUUUGAUAUAUGUAUAAUAUGAUUUAUGAUAAUAAUAUCGUAUGUUUCAAUAAAAAUAUGAAUUUUAUAAAUAUACAUUUAUUAUUAAAUUACAUAAAAUAUUAUUUCAUAAUUUAUUAUGAUAUUUGAUUAUAAUAUGUCUAUAUUUUAAAAUAUAUAUAUAUAUUAAUAUUAAAAUUAUAAUUUAUUUAAUUUAAUUGUAUUAAAUGAUAUAAAAUAAAUUAUGAUAUAUGUACAUAUUUUUAAUAUUUAAUUAAUUUAUUAAUGAUAUUAAAAACACUAUAAAUAUUUAAUUAUAAAAUAAUUAUAAUUAAUUUACUUUCUAAAAUUUUCUUUACAUGAUGAAUUUGAAUGUAUAUUUUUAAUACAUUACAUCUGUAACACAUUCAACAUCAUAUAUAUUGCGAAAAAUCGGCAAUUUAUCGCCAUAUCGUAGAUUUUUGACGAUUUCUUUCAAAAUUUCAUCCUAUAUUUCUCCAUUAAAUACCGUAUUCAUACUAUCCGAUACACAAUAUACCAGCCAAUAUAUCACGAUAUUUUCUUCCAUGCUUAUUUCAACUAUAUUUUUAAAUAAAAAGAAAAUGAUAAUUAUACCAUUUUAGGUGCCGUCGGCCAAUCUACUUUACCAAUAUGAAUAUAUCAAACGUUUGCAAGCUUUAGUGCUUUACACAAACAUAAGACAAAUCUACAUUUUAUAAAAAUUUAUUCAAUAUUGUGCUUUAAUGUUCCUAUUUUUAAAAUGGAAAAAAACUAAAUUUAAUACUUAAAAUGUUUAUAUGAAUCUAAUGCUAAAUUUUUUAAUAAUAAUGUUGAAUUUUAUUAAAUAUAUUUGCUAUCUGGGUGUUCAAUGUGCUUAACUGCUUAUACCAAUAUUUGCAAGUUUUUCACCAAUAGAAAUUUAAUAAAGAUAAAUCCUAAUAGAAACUUUGUAAAAUUUCCUUCCAUAAGCAACGCUGCCAGGUCAGAGGACAUGUGGAAAACAUGUACGUUUUUUAUUUAUUUAUAUUUACUUUUUUGGAUUGUCACUGAUUCACUCUGCGACUGAGAUUUUCUGACGUGGCGUUGGGCGAGACCUCAUGGAUUAGAAGUGCAUCGCCACCUAUGCUAUCCAUUAAGGUUAAUAUGAUAAGAACGCUUGCAUUCCCCCCGGUGGGUUCUGGCCUAGAUGUGUUCGCCACUUCAUACAAUGCUAAACCGCCGCUUCGCUCCCUAGACUCCCUCUCUCUCGAGUCUGCGUCGUCUCUGUACCACACACACUUACGUCUACCUCGCAUUCUUCUUUUUCUUUUCUGCCUAUAUAUUACAUACGUACUCUGAGAUUGCUUCCUCUCAUCGGUCCCUCACUCCUUGUAACCGAAAUUAAUUUGGAGUCUUGGGGAGAAUCACUAAUCUGAAUUUUCAGGAUACCCAAUAGGUGCAACCAUGAUCAGUAGGAGGGCCUGCUUUCGCAAUUUGAUCCUAUCUCUAAGAACGGGUUCCACUGCAUCUAAGGUAAUCUUCCGCUUGUCAUUUGUUAUUUUUUAUUAUGAUUCCAAGGACCAUUUUCCGAUUUUGAUAUACUCUACUUACUUUGAACCUUUUAUAGAGUUGAAAAUUUUCCUCUGGUUUUUAUCAUUUCAUGUGACUUGUAAGUUUGUCUGGCGAACUUGUGGGGUUUCAAUUGUCUGGGUUUUUUGGUGUCGCAGGUUUGGUAUUGUAUGUGUUUUUUUGGUGCCUUCUUUUAACGUAUAGUUCUUGCUUAACACGUUGCUUUGUAGUUGAUUUCUAAUCUCUGUAUCAAUGUCCUUUCUUUUCUGUGCUUGUCUUUUAUAUUUGUUAUUAUUUUUGUUUUAACAACGUAAAACAAUAGAAAAUCUUGAUCGUAGUUGAAGAAAAGAGGGAGAUGAUUAAUUUAGGGAGAGACUAACCCGGUUGAAUUAGUUUCAGCCCUGGAAAUAGGAAUCUGACGGGGUUCUGAAUUCAACCUUUUGAAUGGUACGCAUAGCUUGGAUCAAACCCGUAGCGGGUGGAACAACCUUGUACAUGAUUGAUCCAACACUUUUAAAUGGUUAUUUUCUUUAAAUGCCGGUUAAAUUGGAGGCCUCAGUGGAUGUGACUUUUAAAUAGAAGACGAUCCACAGAUUUAUCAGAAUUUUGAUUAUUUAUUGAGAAUCAAUAUUUUCCCUUUAGAUACAUUCAAAUAUGUUGACUGGGUUUCUUGUGUAAAAUGUCAGCUAGAGGUUGUAUCAAUGAGUAUUGAAAUCACGCGCCUUUGUUUUGAUUAUAGGCUACAAUUCAUUUCCCAUGUUCCUCAAUGAUCUGUCGUUGAUCCAUCGUAUACAUAAUAAAGAUCAAGAUGAUAAAAAGUACAAACUUAUCUAAUUUUCGUGCAUUUUUGCAGCUUAGAUCUUCCAAUUGCUUUACGUCGAGGACUGCACCUUCCUUGCAGCCACUGGUCGAGCCCUCUCCUUAUAGGUAACUGCACAAAAUGAAGCAAUUUGAUACUAAUUACUUGGUUGUUUCCCUGAAGGUGUCUUCUUCCGUACAAUGAAUCCCACUUUUACCCAACCAGAAUUUGUUAAACAGUUAAUUUUCACUUCUUUGAAGCUCAAGCCCUCUCAAUUAUAAAUCUAUAUUGUUUUGGUGCCCAUAGAUUGCAAUGAUUUCAAGCAGUUUUUCAGGUUUAUUGUUUAAGCCCAACACCAAUUACCUGCAUGAGAUUGUGCAACAUUGUUCAUUUAAUGUAAUUAUAAUUGCUAUACUGCUAGUGAUGAUGAGUAUGCUGAUGUGGACUGGGACAAUCUGGGAUUUGGUCUAAUACCCACCGAUUACAUGUACACAACAAAAUGCUCCGAGGGUGGUAAUUUUGAAGAAGGCCAUCUUAGUCGCUAUGGAAAUAUCGAGUUGAGCCCUUCUGCUGGCGUGUUAAAUUAUGGACAGGUAACUAGAUUGUAUUCUUAAUUACUUCUGCUAAAGCAAACAGCAUAUUUCAUGUUGUAUCUUUUAACUAACUUCAGGGUUCUAAUGUAAAGUUGGUGGUUUUGAAAUCUGAACAGGGGCUGUUUGAAGGCACCAAAGCCUAUAGGAGAGAAAAUGGGCGCCUCUGCCUCUUCCGCCCUGAUCAGAAUGCCAUCCGUAUGCAGGUUGGUGCAGAAAGGAUGUGCAUGCCUUCCCCGUCCAUCCAUCAUUUUGUAGAAGCUGUGAAGCAAACCGCUCUCGCUAACAAGCGCUGGGUAAUUGUUUUACCCUGAUUGUUCUAAUCUAUGUUGCAUCAGAAGCUCUAUGCGUUCAUUUAAUGAUUAUGUCUUUUCUACUGGUUUAUAAAUUUUUUGUUUUGUUUUGAUGUGGAGCAGAUUCCUCCUCCAGGGAAAGGGUCACUGUAUAUUAGACCUUUGCUCAUGGGAAGUGGACCCGUAUUGGGUUUAGGCCCAGCACCUGAAUGCACAUUCCUCAUAUAUGCUUCCCCUGUUGGCAACUAUUUCAAGGUGGGGUUUCUUAUUUUAUCAAAGCCUGGUUUUGGUUCGGCUCAGAAAAGAAGAACUUAUAUGCUCUGUUGAUUCAUUUUGUAGCAGGUUUCGGCACCAUUGAACCUAUUUAUUGACGAUGAGUAUCAUCGUGCAACUCGUGGAGGGGCUGGAGGGGUAAAAGCCAUUACCAACUAUUCUCCUGUAAGUGAAUCAUUGUCUCAUUUAGUUGUAGAAGAAGCUCAUUGGUUUCAACACCUUGAAUGCCACAAAAUAUGCUCAUUUUCAAAAAAUGACUUGUGUCUAAAGUGUUAGGUUAAUAGGUUGUAGCAUCGAAUAUAGUUUCUAUGGAAUGUAAAUUAUUUCUUAUAUACGAAAGUGGCUACUAGUGCUUGCUACCAAAUUAUUGAUGCCCCCCUCGAAACUAUGUUAUCUAUUACAUCACAUCCUUUCUUGUCUUGUGUAGGUUUUGAAAGCACAAAGUAGAGCAAAGAGUAGAGGGUUCUCUGAUGUGCUAUUCCUUGAUUCAGUGAAUAAGAAAAACAUCGAGGAGGUCUCUUCUUGUAACAUCUUCAUUGUGAAGGUACUGUUGAAAUUACAUUUCUCAUUGAUUUAAUUUUUCUCAUCUGGUGCCUAAUUGUUAUCUUCACUGAAUGUAACUCUAACAAAGAAGUGAAAACAUAAGUGAUUAGCAGCUUAGAUUGUUCAAAACAACUUGGGCAGAGAAUUUUGAAACACAUAUCCUUCAGUUUAUUCCCUGCCAUUGUAUUUCUCUCGAAAUUGGAUAGAUAUAGAGGCAGAGCUUAGAGUGUACUUUUCCACCAUUUCAGGAUAAUGUUAUUUCAACUCCAGCUACAGGAGGAACUAUUCUUGAAGGAGUGACUCGAAAAAGCAUUAUUGACAUUGCUCUUGAUCAUGGUUACCAGGUGAAUGUCCAGUAACUUGGUAAAAACAAGAAGCCAGUUUCUGUGCUUAUAUGUUCUGACAAUUUCCCAAAUGGGUUAGGUUAAGGAGCGAUGUAUUCCGGUGGAGGAAGUGAUGGAAGCCGAUGAAGUUUUCUGCACCGGAACCGCUGUUGGUGUAGCUGCGGUGGGAAGUAUUACAUAUCAAGGCAAAAGGUAAAUAGCCAUACUUAAGAUCAUGAAGAACCUCUGCAAGAAGGGAAAUAUUAAGUCCAUACUUAGUGUUGCAUGCCAAUCAUUUUCCUUUGUUGAUGAAUUAAAUAUUAAUGCGCAGGGUGGAAUACAAAUCGGGUGAUCGGUGUGUGAGUCAGGAACUGUUGUCAAUGUAUACGGGGAUUCAAAAAGGUCAUAUUGAGGACAAGAAGGGCUGGAUUCUGGAGAUUGACUAAGCUUUACAUCCACCUCACAUUCAGUGCACCCAACACUUGUACAUCGUGCUGCUAAGAGCAUGGUAUUCCAUAUUCCUAAUAAAAUUGAUGUUUAGACCAAAAGCAUGGACAUCUAAAUUGGGUUUCGUCUUUGUGAAUCCUUACCCCCCUCCGAAACUAUAUCCCAUUCAACCUUACUUUCCCUCCUAUAAUCCUAUCACUUAUCCUUAACUCCCCUGCCUCCACAGGCCCACCCACUCUUCCACAUUUUAAUAACUAAUAUAAGUUCAAAUUCACAUCAUUCAAUAUGGCAACUGGCGCUAGCAAAAAGUCAUGUCUAUAAUAAGAGUAUAUAUUAUGGAGCCAUCUCUAGUAGGAGUCUGGAUCAAAGUUGUGUCUUCAUGUUAUUGAAAAAUGAUUUUCAAAAAAUGAAAUCACAUUCUAAAAAAUCAAUUGCCAAGUAAAAAUCAUGAUUUUAAAAAUAAAAAUUAUGAUUUAAGAAAAUGAUUUUCAUGGAAGUGACCUCGUGGGAUGAAAGAGCUUUAAAAACCUCUUCCACAGGUUAUGGUUCAGCGUUACAAGUAUUUUGUAAUUGUUCUUAAAGAUAGUUUUUGCUUUCAUUAGAGACGAAGGAUUGAGAAAAAAAUUAGAGAGGAAGGAAAAAAGCAAAUAAAUGAAAAAUUGAUUUAAAAUUUUGUCUUAAUUUUUUUUAAAAUAAAAAUUAUUUUGAAAUCCCACGUAAAACAGGCCCUAAAAGUCUCUUCGCCAAAAUGCAAAACUUUAAAAAUAAUUGAACGUGCGAAAGUUUUUUAUUUUGUAAAAGCAUUAAAUGACAUCUAGGUCUGCCCCGAUCUUCCUUCAUCUACCGCGCUCUGGGUUGUCACAUCGCAUGACAUCACACAAAAUCGAUCAAGCUCCAUAUUCUCUCUAAACCUUUUCAAAAGUAUCAAAACUAGAUCUUAUAUGCUUUCAUGCGUCUCUAUUGCCGCGCAAACUAGGGAUGGCAACGGGCCCCGCCCCGUUUAACUUUUUUAUUUUUAUUUUUAUUUUUUAAUUACUUUUAAAUUUGUUAAUUACAUUAAAUUAAAAUAUAUUUUAUAAAUAAUUAAAUUAUUAUAUAUUUUUAUCUUAUUUUAUUAAUUUAUAAAUUAAAAAUAAUAAAAUAAAUUUUAAUUUAAUUUAAUUUUAUAAAUAAUCAGAUGAGAUGAGAAAUACAAAACAGUACUCGAACUCACCUGAAUCUGAAU